UGCCCAGCAACUCCUAUCCCUACCUCCUCGCGGUACUGGCCGGGGUACGAGUAACCUUGGGGAAGAUCGGGUAACCAACCCGGUGGGAACUUUGGUGGAAUGCUGACAGGGAAGG
Molecule: ribozyme, 115 nt
Filed under: Aedes aegypti (yellow fever mosquito)
Lineage: Eukaryota; Metazoa; Arthropoda; Insecta; Diptera; Culicidae
Description: drz-agam-1 ribozyme
Rfam family: drz-agam-1 ribozyme
Source: Rfam by way of RNAcentral